UUAAAGUCAGAAGAUACCGGGAGAACGAAGAUAAAACCCUAAAUCCAAUUCUGAAGGAGAUUAGAGGCAAUUUUCAUUAUUCUUAAUUCAAUCUAUUGUUUUUCAUCAUGUUUAGACAAUUAGAUUUCGUUUUUAUGUUGUCAAUUGCCCCAAUCAUGAGAUAAAACCUUCUAACUUCUAUUUGGGAAGACAAUAUUAAGACUAUGAGUUGAUUUAUGGUAGGAUUGAUUUAAUAUUGGUGACUUUGUUGAUUUUAGCUUGUUAAAGAACCUUAUGUGUGAAUGAUAACUAUUUUUCUGUUAAUAGGAAGAGAAUUAAGAUGCAUGAACAUCUCUUAAUUGUUUACCUCAUAUGAUCUAUGUGACCACUUUAUUAUAUAACUAGGAUUAGCGAAUGUGAAACUAGAAUUAACCAGAAAAUAGGUAAAUUCAUGUGUGAACUUGUGUGAUGACCAUCAACAACAGGUUAACUAAAGGACCAAUUUAGUUGACCAUUACAAGUCUUAAUCAACCCGAAUAAAUAAUCUAGUGAAUUAAAUUAAAUUAGACAACUGGCCACUGUUUGAGUUAGUUUGUUCUCUAAUGAUUAGUGCAACGAACGUGAAUCUAAUCACUUGAAUCGGUAGCCAAUAGAAAGAUCAAUCCAUUGCACUAUUUCCAUAACAUCAACCAUAGAAUCAAUUGAGUUGAACUAAAUAGAAGUUCCCUUCAUUAUUGAAUUUAGUUGAAUCUUUGCUUAUCUAGUUUUUACUUAAUUAGUCUAAGUAUUAGUUAGUAAGUUUCUAGUCUUGGAAAACUAGAGAAAACCCCCUUUAUUACUUAAUUUUUAGAUAAGAUUAGUUUUUAGUUUUAAUUUUCCAUUCCCUGUGUUCAAUACCCUACUUAUUUAACUUUACCACAAUUGAUAGGUCCACUGCAUUUGUGUGUUUAUUUUAUAAUUAAAAGUAGGAUUAAAACUAGUUGGGUUUUACACACAUCAAGUUUUUGGCACCGUUGCCGGGGAACGGUUUAAAAAUUAAAUCUAAUUCCUAAGUUUAUCGAUCCUUUGUGUGGGCAACCUUGACCUGCUAUUUACAAGUUCUUUCCCGGUUCUUGACAUGAAGAUUUUUCCAAAUCCUUUGGAAGGUCCAGCAGCAAAACGCAAAAGUGUUAAAAAUUAUUGUAACUUCCAAAAUUUUCAUGUAGCUUGCCUUAAUAUGAUGAUACAAAGAGAUGAUGAAAGGCAACUUGAUAAGGAGGCAAGCUUGGGAGAAAAGGAGAAUGCAAAGGCUGGCAGAGAUGAUGCUAAUAACUCAUCCAUUGAGUCACAUUCAACCAAACCUCGAGCCCGAGUCUUUUCCAAUUAUGAAGUAAUUACAUUUGAAUAACGAGAAGUACAAAAGAUGGGGCCAAAUAAUGGGGUGAAGAAAAAGAAGGCUGGGAAGCGGAUUAGGCAGGCAAUUGAAGAAAAUACCACAAGGAAAAGGAAAGAAGAAUUGAGACUGGCAUAUAAGAGGAAGAUACACGCCUACAAGACAAAGUAUACACCGUAAAAGAUUAGGCGUGCAUUCCCAAUGCAGGAAAAUGAAGAAACGUAGAUGGGAGGGAGUCCAGCUAAAGACUCCUAAAAAAGAAGCGCUUGGCGGGAGGCAACCCAUUAUGAGAGUUUGCUUUCUUUUAUCUUUCUCGUUUUAGUUUUUGUUUGAUUUUCUUAGGACUUUUUCUGUUUUCAUCUUCUAAUUCAUCAAACAUGUUUGCUUGAGGGUACGCAUGGUCUGAGUGUGGGGUGGAUUGAACAAUUUUUAUUAAUAGAUGACAAAAUGAUAUAAUUUUUGAAAUUUUUGCAAGUGACUCGGCGAGUUGGUACCUUGACUCGACGAGUCAAUUCAGAAUCCAGAUAACCUUCAUUCCUGACUCGACUCGCCGAGUCUGACCCUAACUCGACGAGUCGACUUUAAUUACUGAAAAAAUAAUUAUUAUUAUUAUAUUUUUUUAUAUCUGACAAAACAAGGGUUUUUACCCUAAUUUGAACAUAUCUCAUCCAUACUCACCGUGCGCCUCUUCUUGUUCUCUCUCAAGCACUCAUCAAGUUCUUCCAAUUCUCUUCAAAUUUCAACAAGCAAGGUUCUUAAUUUCGUCAAUAUUACUAUUAAAGUCAUGAUUUUUAGAUGAUUAGAAGAGUCGAUUUGAUGGAACACCCAUUUUUGAAAUUUUGUGAAUUUUUAGGGUUUUGAUUUCGGUUUAAUUAUGGUGUUUAGGAUGGAUGUUCUUGCACUAAUACACCUUAUGCACAUUCCUGGACAAACCCUUGGACCAAUUUUGAGUUUUUAUGGGUGAAAUUUCACCGACCCGUCGACUGACUCGCGCAGUUCAUCAUACUCGCCGAGUCGGUCAUGGACUCGAUGAGUCCAGUCGAGAACCCAAAUAGAUUUUGUUUUAAAGUGUUUCUGUAUUUUCUGGAUUGUUUGUUGUUUUUUGCAGAAACAUGUUUUCACGGGGUCAAAGCUCUCGGUGAAGUCAAGGAGAUUUUCCUUGGUUGCAUUUUCCACGAAUCGACUCAAAUUCAACAAGGACUAAGUGGAAGAAGAAGCUUGCGGAACUCUAGAAAAAAGAGAUUUGUGCUCCUAAUAUAAUUGAUUGGCAAUGGUUGGGGAGAGUUCGUUAUGAAGAGGAGUUGGCUCCUUAUAUAAUCAAGACGUUUGUACACAAUGGAGUAUCCAUCACGUGUGAUGGAUGGAGUCGUGUCUUCCGUAUUUAGGAACCGAUCUAUCGUGAGCUGUGCUUGGAGUUCUUUUCCACAAUACAUUUCCAGGGUGUGAAUGAUUAUUAUAAUCCCGGAAGUAUUACUUUUUGUCUUAGGGGCGAAGUUCGUCAUUGUUCUAUGGUGGAAUUGGCUUGGAGAUUGGGAAUAUAUGACCAACAAGUGGUCAACACGGAUGCAUUUCGUACCUUUUUGGACCAUUGCCAUAAAGCAUUUUCGGAUGGGAUCACCAGUUCAAGUUGGUGGAAUACCAUUGCCAACAAGGUUUACAUUCCGAAGUCGGCUCAAGAAGGGAGCAUACGAUCACCUACGCACCGCCUUAUUCACCAUCUUAUUUCAAACACCAUUAACCAAAGGAAAGAUGAUGACAAGGUUUCUAACCUUGAUGUUUCUUUCUUUGGAGCAUCAUUACACCUAAUACUUUUUGCAACAUUCCAUGGUGCAUAGGUUCGUACUUGGCGGAGGGAGCGGUCAAGGACCGCAAAACUUCAAAAAUUAAUGGUGACAUGUUCAUGACACGUUUAACCCACUCUUAUGGGUUAAUGACUAGUGGUGCUUGGAACUUGCUGAUGGAGAUCCCGACAUUUCCCUUUAAUCCUAUUCUUUUUCGCAGGGCACACAUCAUUGAGGAUUAUGGAGGGGGUCAUUACGCUAUCCCACAUGAUGAUGCCAUGAUCGGACCCGAGGAACCAGGAAGGUGGGUUCGACCAAGAUGGGAGCAAGCAUGCCAUGAUCCACCAGUGAUUCUGGUCGAGGACAAUGUUCCCCAGGAGUGGUAUAAUGAGGAAGGGAUGAGAUAUUUGGAUGAUUUGGCUCGGAGUUCAAAUUUUACAAACCAAUCUUUCAUCCAGUUAUUUGAACAUUUCCACAUCCAACAUGUGGACGGGGGACAAUUUCCGUAUGUUCCAAGUUGGGAUGAAAGGAUAAGCGCAAGGCAAGGAGGAGCCGGUGGGAGCGGGGUUGUGCGUGGCGAUGAUGAGGAAGAGGAUGAUAAUUAGUUUCUUUUUUUAUUUAUGUUUUGUUGAACAAUUUGUUUUUAUUUUGUUUGGUGUAUUUUGAAUUCUUAAUUAGGACUUAAACUUAUGUGCUUGAUGUUCCAUUUUGCCUUGGUUUCUUUCAGAAUUUGGAUUAGGAAAUGCUUGUAUAAGGAGUCUAGAGAAUGUGAGAAAAACAUGGAAACGAGUCAAGAAAGGUCGACGUAUUGAGUCUAAGUGUCGAGUCCGUUCCUAAAAGGUUUAUGAUUGAAUGGUUAUUGAAUCAAUGGGAAGUUUUUGAGGUCAACUAAAAGUUGGAUUCCAGAUAGAGUUUAUUAAUUUUCCACCCAGCGAUGACUCGCCGAGUGCAGUUUUCCUACUUGACGAGUCGCAAUAUAUUUUCACGACUUCAACAUUAUCGCGCUAUGACUCGACGAUUCGUUCAUAUGACUCGACGAGUUAUUCAUUUAUCUACCACAAGGUCUGCUGAUUUGAUGUUGUUAGCUACACCAUUUGACCACUUUAUCUUUGUAAUCAAUUUAUGAAGAUUUUACAGUAUUUUUCCUGCACAUUUGGAGCUACCCACAUGCGAUUUGAUGCCCAAGACAUGGAUGAGCUGUUCCCAUGUCUAAAGUCGAUUGAAGUAGGAGCUUAAUAGAAGAUGAUCAGUCUAGCGACUGCCACUCCAGGGGAGUUUGUUCCAAUUCCCUCUUUAUUUUAUUUUUAUUUUUUUUUCUUUUCAUGCAUUAUAUGCAAUGAGGACAUUGCAUGAAUUAAGUGUGGGGUAGUGGUUGGUUACAUCUUAGUAAAUUUAGAGUCCUAAUUUAGGGAUAUUUUGAAAAAAAAUUUGCAUACCAAAAAAAAGUUGCUUAGGACUUAAUUUAGAAAUUUUGGUAAAAGUAAUGAGGAUUCCAUGUUGGAAUUAUGUUGAUAAUUGCAAGAAGACCCAAAUAUUUAGUUGAGCCUAGAUACGUUCUAGUGCACUUGUGGCUUCCUUAUUCCAGUGAAAUCAUGGGACAAAACACGACCUUGCUUAGCCCGAAGGAUGCAAUAUGUUUAGCAUCGUGUACCAGAAAUGUAUCCAGGAAAAUUAUUAUUUUAGCCAAUAAAGGUUGAAGUUGAGUGCCCUUACUUAAGCAUGUAGGUUUUGAAAAAAAGAAAAAGUGAGGUAUAUGUCAAAAAAAAAAGAGAAAAAAGAGAAUUACAAGAAAAAGUUGUAAGAAUUUUGGAGCGGUCAAAAGUGAAGAUUAAAAGAUCAAAGUUCUGAAAAAAAAAGUGAAGAUACCAAAAAUUAAAAAGAUCAAAUUCCAAUAGCUCAAUAGUGGUAUCGAAAAGUUGUAAUUUUCUAGAUUAUGUAUGCUUGGGUUGCUUAACCAAAAAUACCUUGAGGAUAGGAGGUUUUAUGCGGAUGGAUUCGGAGGGAUGCAUAAAAUGAGCAUUGUUCGGGAUAAGUGGGUGAAUAUUUAUGAGGAUUGUAAGUAUUUGGAAUAUUGGAGGGUUUUAGGGAAAUUCUAGACACAAGUGCACGCAUUGCGGUUUUGGCGUAAUGGUUGGGUUCGAUUGGAGUUGUCCUUUGUGAUUCUAAUGUACUAAAAUUCAGUUUUGCUUGGGGGCAAGCAAAAGUCAAGUGUGGGGUAUUUUGAUAUUUGCAUAUUUAGUCUUAUAUUAAGUAUAGAUUUUUAUCAUUUAUUAACUAAUUAAUUGCAUAUCAUGGACAAAAGAUACUUAAAAGUGUGUGAAUUAUGUUUUCAGUCAAAAAGCGAAGCUCGAAAGCAAAAAGAAGCAUGAGAAGCGGUUGGGAGCUCGGGAGUUAAACCAAGAAGAAAAAUGCCAAAAACACAAGGUACUCAGCGAGUAGGGUCGACUACUCGGCGAGUCGCAUCGAAGAUUCGAGAAGAUAAAGACUCCUUGACUUACCGUGUACAGGAAUUAAGGGGUGCACUCGACGAGUCGGUCAUGGAAUCGACGAGUCGGGGCGAAUCUAUAAAAACGACUUUUCAGAUCGACACAAAUAAUUCUGGAACCCUUGGGGAGAAGCAAGCUGCGAAUUGAAGUCAAAAGAGACCUGGAGAACGAAGAUAAAACCCUAAAUCCAAUUCCGAAGGAGAUUAGAGGCAAUUUUCAUUAUUCUUAAUUCAAUCUAUUGUUUUUCAUCAUGUUUAAACAAUUAGAUUUUGUUUUUAUGUUGUCAAUUGCCCCAAUCAUUAGCUAAAACCUUCUAACUUCUGUUUGGGGAGACAAUAUUGAGACUAUGAGUUGAUUUAUGGUAGGAUUGAUUUAAUAUUGGUGACUUUGUUGAUUUUAGCUUGUUAAAGAACCUUAUUAUGUGUGAAUGAUAACUAUUUUUCUGUUAAUAGGAAGAGAAUUAAGCUACAUGAACAUCUCUUAAUUGUUUACCUCAUAUGAUUUAUGUGACCACUUUAUUAUAUGACUAGGAUUAGCGAAUGUGAAACUAGAAUUAACCAGAAAAUAGGUAAAUUCAUGUGUGAGCUUGUGUGAUGACCAUCAACAACAGGUUAACUAAAGGACCAAUUUAGUUGACCAUUACAAGUCUUAAUCAACCCGAAUAAAUAAUCUAGUGAAUUAAAUUAAAUUAGACAACUGGCCACUGUUUGAGUUAGUUUGUUC
This 6341-nucleotide long non-coding RNA is filed under the name Lactuca sativa (garden lettuce). RNAcentral's name for it is "long non-coding RNA (LSAT_LNC005517)". The record is from RNAcentral. Lineage: Eukaryota; Viridiplantae; Streptophyta; Magnoliopsida; Asterales; Asteraceae.